GGGUGUUUGGCCGAGUGGUUUAAGGCGCUACGUUCAGGCGGUCUGUUCUGGCCAAGAGUUUCGUAGUAUCGCAAGAUGCGUGAGUUCGAAUCUCACAGCACCCA
This is a non-coding RNA of Borealophlyctis nickersoniae, 104 nucleotides long. The record is from the annotation of a GenBank genome assembly. NCBI's taxonomy places the organism in Eukaryota, Fungi, Chytridiomycota, Chytridiomycetes, Rhizophlyctidales, Borealophlyctidaceae.